AGUGAACGCUGGCGGUAGGCCUAACACAUGCAAGUCGAACGGCAGCACAGUAAGAGCUUGCUCUUACGGGUGGCGAGUGGCGGACGGGUGAGGAAUACAUCGGAAUCUACUUUUUCGUGGGGGAUAACGUAGGGAAACUUACGCUAAUACCGCAUACGACCUACGGGUGAAAGCAGGGGAUCUUCGGACCUUGCGCGAUUGAAUGAGCCGAUGUCGGAUUAGCUAGUUGGCGGGGUAAAGGCCCACCAAGGCGACGAUCCGUAGCUGGUCUGAGAGGAUGAUACGCCACACUGGAACUGGGACACGGUCCAGACUCCUACGGGAGGCAGCAGUGGGGAAGAUUGGACAAUGGGGGCAAGCCUGAUCCAGCCCUACCGGGUGGGUGAAGGAGGCCCUCGGGUUGGAAAGCCCUUUUGUUGGGAAAGAAAAGCAGCAGGUUAAUACCCCGCUGUUCUGACGGUACCCAAAGAAUAAGCACCGGCUAACUUCGUG
RNAcentral lists this ribosomal RNA (492 nucleotides) under uncultured bacterium. RNAcentral describes it as "partial 16S ribosomal RNA". It matches the Rfam family "Bacterial small subunit ribosomal RNA", at positions 29 to 507 of the family's 1533-position model. The record is from RNAcentral.